CAAGGUUUAUACAAUAGGCGCUAACUCCAUAGUCACCAAGGUUUAUCUAACAAUAGGCGCUAACUCCAUAGUCACCAAGGUUUAUCUAACAGCAGGCGCUAACUCCAUAGUCACCAACUAUCCCAUCUACCCUUGUUCUACCCAACAAUUUUGUAGAUAUAAAUACUUACACAGUUUAAAUCAUUUAACACCUGUAUAAAACUCCAAUUUCCAUGUCCAUCUCAAAUAGACAAAUAACAUAUAAACACAUAGCACGUAUUUCAUAACAAAUACUUCAUAUUGAUGUGUUAGAAGAAAGCAACUACACACCCACACAUAUAAACAACAAUAUACUUAAUACACUCAAACCAUACUUGUAUUAUUAUCGUGUUUAUGAAAGGUAGUAUACACUCACUUGAUCAGAAGAUGAUCGGACAGCACUACGACUUGCAGAAGUAGUAAUCCACAGCAGAUCUGGAAGAUCUCCACAAAAAUCGAACUUCUCGCGGGCAGAGCUUCGGCUCGGGAACCGCACUUCUCGGGAUCUUCGGGAUCUCGGGACUUGCCUCGGGGCUAGAGAAUAAUACCGGGGCUUCGGGGUAUUUCUGGCACGCAAAACGAUGCAAAACGGGAGAGAGAAGAGAAGAAAUUGGCAAUUGGGUCGGCUGCCCUCGCAUCCUAUUUAUAGGAGGCUGGAGCCUCGGAGUACGCGGGGCGUACUGGUCCGAAAAACGUCACUGCGUGCAUCAUCCGAAGCCACUUGCUGCGAAUGUUGACACUUCGUAGUACGCGGGGCGUACUCGAGUACGCGGCGCGUACCUCGGAUCAGACCGGUGACUCCUUCGGAUAAUGCUUCCGAAUUUCCUUUUAAAUUUAAAUACAAAUUGAUUAAUAAACUUCGGAAAUUCAUAUCUUCUUCAUACGAACUCCGUUUUCGACGUUCUUUAUAUCCACGCGAAGGUGAGACUACGCUCUACAACUUUCGUUUAGACUCCGUCGGCUAAUUUUGACUUUUAUUUUUAUUAUUUAUUUUUAAUAGGCCGCGACAGAAAACUUCGUUAUAAAUUCAUAACUUCUUCGUUUGACGUCCGUUCUCGCCUAACUUUUUAUCGCUUCGAUACCAACAACGAGAUCUUCGAUUCUCGUUUAGAUUGCUAAGGCUAAAUAUCGCUCUAACGUAAAUUCACUUUUUACGUCGCGCUGUGUCGUGCCGGUUCUGUCGCGAAACUUCGACAGGUCAUAACUUCUUCGUUAUAACUCGGAUUUUGGCGUUCUUUAUAUGUACGGAAACCUUGUAACAUAUACUACAACUUAGUUAGGAUUAUUCAUCCUAAAUAAUCUUCUAUCAAAAAGUCAUUUUUGACUCUUAUUGUCUCUAAAUUGACUAGCCCUGAUCUACGGGCGUUACACUUAUCUCCCCCUUAGGAUGAUUACGUCCCGGAAUCAUCAACGAAAUAGGAUUCGCAUACUGACUCCAUAAGUUAUCUCUCCAUUCUAAGUAAUAACCCUGAUGGGUCGUGUCCCGAUGACCUCUCAUCAUAGUCGGACUCAAUUGAUAUGACCCCUAGGGUCGGAAUAACAACUAUCUUACUAGACAUUACCGAAACAAUGGUAAUGACAUACUUGAAUAAAACGGAAUCAAUUACUAGCUUCUUGAUAACCUUGUGACUUCCCCUGAUCCAAGCGUGAGUCCUGUGCUUCCGGUAGUAUAGAUCUCUACUACCAUUCACACCUACUCAUACUCGUCCCAAGUAUUGUCUCGCAGUUAACCAAGUCACCAUACAUAAAUCAUAUAAUCAUUCAACACAUCAGAUAACAAAACUAGGAUUUAUAUUAAUUCUUGAAACUAUUACACAAAAGUUCAAGUUCACCCUAUACUAUGCCUCUAACAGGCUAUGCUUCCUGAUACAGACUUUACCGACUUUAUAUAUUAAUAUGAAGUCUUCAUCCUUUAACCCUCCCAUCCCUUUCUGCUUCGUUGAGGAACAUGUUGAAUGCCCUUGGCUGUGGAGGUGUGUUUUUCUGUGGGCAGUCUUUAGAAAUAUGACCUUCUUCAUUACACCUAUAGCACAUCUUCUUGUUAGGUGCGCACUUGUUGGCAUAGUGCCCUGUCUUCCCACAUUUGUAGCAAGUCAUCUCCUCGCUACAUUUCCCGAAGUGUUUCUUCUUACACUUCUCACACCACUUAGCCUCAUCUCUUCCUCCAGUUUUCGAGAAUUUACUUUCUUUAUCGAUUAUUGAAGAUCCUUCACGCUUCCUUUUCUCUCCAACUUCAGCCCUUUCCAGACCCUUUUCUUUUAUUUGGGUCUCAACAUUUUUGGCUGCCCAGAUGGCGGCUUUCAGAGUGGUUGCUUGUUUGACUAUCGGACCAAAGUCCGCUGGUAAUCCAUUAGCAAACUUGUUGACCUUGGAAAGUUCAGUCGGAAUUAGGUAUGGAAUAAGCUUCAUCUUCUCCGUAAAGCUCGUAGCGUAUUCAGUAACGCUCAAUUUUCCUUUCUUCAGAUUCUGGAACUCAUUGUUGAUUUCCAGAAGAUCCUGCUCAGAGCAGUAUUGCAUUUUCAUUUGCUCCACGAACUCUUCCCAAGACAUCUUGCUAGCUUCCCCCUUGGGCAUUGAACCAGCCAGUAACUUCCACCAGCUCAAUACUCCAGAUUUUAACAGAGGGAUUGCAAGAGCGGUCUUCUGUCUGUUGCUACACUCGCAACUUUCAAACAUUGUCUCCAUUUCGGAGAUCCAGUCCAUGACUUGCACCGGUGUCGGGCUCCCAGAAAGACAUGGUGGUUUGGAUGCCAUGAAAUCCUUGUACUUGCAUCCACGUCCAUCAUUUCCUCUAUCCUGGUUGUUUUGGCGAACUAUUGGUGGGUUGGCUUGACCAACGGUCCCACUAUAGUUUCCUCCUUCAGAAUGCCCUCCAUUUACUUCGGGCUCUUCUACUCGAAUUGACAAUUCCUCGCGAUUUUGUCUGAUCAGACGUCUAGUUUCUUCCAUCUGAUUAUUCAACAUUGCCUGGAUCAUCACUUGAACUCCGGCCAUUGUCAUUGGUUCAGGCGCUGCUGCCACAACAGGUAUUUGUUCAAUUACUGGUACUUGAUUCCUGUUCUCAUCAGCAUUUCCAACUCCACUCCUCGUUCUCACCAUUUUUGAUCUAUACACCGAAUAUGGUGAAAUUAGAUCCUUAAUCACGAUAGAUAUUCAAAUCAUCCUUAUCACUCCGAAACGUUUAUAUGCUAGUUCUAAUAUCGUAGACGUACGCUUAGAAUCCUAUACACAUAAGGUUUCCAGAUCCGGUCGGCAACAGACCAUAGAUCCGAACAAAUAAUAGCAUCAAUAUAGCUAUCACACAAAACGUUUAGCACGCAAAAGCAUUUUAGGCAACUUUCCUAAAAUAAAAUAGUGCCUGUGUCAAUUUAGGUGUACUACCUAAAAUAUAAUGGACACACUCAACUCGCAAUCAUUGCUUAGCAUUCUAAGUUUAAGUCUAGAAAUCCUACAAAUUCCUAGUUCGCUUAAACUAAUGCUCUGAUACCAACUGUGACAUCCCCAAUUUCACGGCCAGAAAAGACCGAUUUGUUUAUGCUUUGUUUUCAAAAUCAGAGUGAUCGUUUAAAGAAAACGGUUGCGGAAUUUGUUCCCAAAAUAAAAUAUGAUAACCAUUUUAUCAAAACAUUUCUCGAAAAGAAUGUAUUUUUAUUAAAUAAUAAAACCUCGGGAUGUCAUGUUCGUUACAGACCAAAAGCAUAAACAACAUAAAAUAGACCUUACAAUAGUUAUUCAACUACUGAUCUAUAAUCCAAAAUCUCUCGUCAAGUCCGCCGACUUAUACUCUUGUGUCAUUACCUGUAAUGAAAAGAAAACUGAGUGGGUCAGGCUUGGGAGCCUGGUGAGCAUAUAGGGUUUUCAACCCACAAUAAUACAUUUAUUAUAUUCAAUUAUCAAACAAUCAACUCAAAUACCCAUCCCCAUCAUCUUCUUAAGGUUUCCCCCUAAGAACCAACUAUCCUUCAUUCACUUAUUCCUAAGGAAUCGGCACGAAAUCCAUUGCUGCCAAAGUUUAUCUAUCGAGUACUAAAUCCAUAGUUAUAAGACGCUAACUCCAUAGUCGUCGGGGUUUACUCAAGAGGCGCUAACUCCAUAGUCACCAAGGUUUAUCUAACAGCAGGCGCUAACUCCAUAGUCACCAACUAUCCCAUCUACCCUUGUUCUACCCAACAAUUUUGUAGAUAUAAAUACUUACACAGUUUAAAUCAUUUAACACCUGUAUAAAACUCCAAUUUCCAUGUCCAUCUCAAAUAGACAAAUAACAUAUAAACACAUAGCACGUAUUUCAUAACAAAUACUUCAUAUUGAUGUGUUAGAAGAAAGCAACUACACACCCACACAUAUAAACAACAAUAUACUUAAUACACUCAAACCAUACUUGUAUUAUUAUCGUGUUUAUGAAAGGUAGUAUACACUCACUUGAUCAGAAGAUGAUCGGACAGCACUACGACUUGCAGAAGUAGUAAUCCACCGCAGAUCUGGAAGAUCUCCACAAAAAUCGAACUUCUCGCGGGCAGAGCUUCGGCUCGGGAACCGCACUUCUCGGGAUCUUCGGGAUCUCGGGACUUGCCUCGGGGCUAGAGAAUAAUACCGGGGCGUCGGGGUAUUUCUGGCACGCAAAACGAUGCAAAACGGGAGAGAGAAGAGAAGAAAUUGGCAAUUGGGUCGGCUGCCUUCGCAUCCUAUUUAUAGGAGGCUGGAGCCUCGGAGUACGCGGGGCGUACUGGUCCGAAAAACGUCACUGCAUGCAUCAUCCGAAGCCACUUGCUGCGAAUGUCGACACUUCGGAGUACGCGGUGCGUACCUCGGAUCAGACCGGUGACUCCUUCGGAUAAUGCUUCCGAAUUUCCUUUUAAAUUUAAAUACAAAUUGAUUAAUAAACUUCGGAAAUUCAUAUCUUCUUCAUACGAACUCCGUUUUCGACGUUCUUUAUAUCCACGCGAAGGUGAGACUACGCUCUACAACUUUCGUUUAGACUCCGUCGGCUAAUUUUGACUUUUAUUUUUAUUAUUUAUUUUUAAUAGGCCGCGACAGAAAACUUCGUUAUAAAUUCAUAACUUCUUCGUUUGACGUCCGUUCUCGCCUAACUUUUUAUUGUUUCGAUACCAACAACGAGAUCUUCGAUUCUCGUUUAGAUUGCUAAGGCUAAAUAUCGCUCUAACGUAAAUUCACUUUUUACGUUGUAUUGCGUCGUGCCGGUUCUGUCGUGAAACUUCGACAGGUCAUAACUUCUUCGUUAUAACUCGGAUUUUGGCGUUCUUUAUAUGCACAGAAACCUUGUAACAUAUACUACAACUUAGUUAGGAUUAUUCAUCCUAAAUAAUCUUCUAUCAAAAAGUUAUUUUUGACUCUUAUUGUCUCUAAAUUGACUAGCCCUGAUCUACGGGCGUUACAUCAUAUGGCCUGGCAAGCCAUCGAAAAGACCUUCCAGGCACACACUAGGGCACGGAGAAUGGCAAUGCGGGUUCAAUUGCAAUCUCUUGUCAAAGGCUCUCUGUCCGUGAUGGACUAUCUUCAGCAGAAACGAUCCAUAGCUGAUUCCCUUGCAGAAAAUCUCUAUCCAAUAUCUGAAGAGGACCUUGUUGGUCACAUCUUGUCUGGCCUCGACUCCUCUUAUGGGCCAUUCUACACUACUGUCAUGCUGCGAUCUGAUCCUCUCUCAGUUGAUGAACUUGUUGG
This 5697-nucleotide long non-coding RNA is filed under the name Lactuca sativa (garden lettuce). RNAcentral describes it as "long non-coding RNA (LSAT_LNC003816)". The record is from RNAcentral. Lineage: Eukaryota; Viridiplantae; Streptophyta; Magnoliopsida; Asterales; Asteraceae.